CAGAUGCCCCCAACUAGUCUCCUGGUUGUCCCUAUGUCAUUUUCCACACAGGUUCUAUAGUUAGCUCUGUGUGUGUGUGUGUGUGUGUGUGUGUGUGUGUGUGUUAUGUGCAUACAUGUACAAGGUAUGCAGAUCUGUUCUUGUGCUUGGAAGCCAGAGGAGGAUGUCUAGUGUUCUGUCACUCUCCACUCUCUUCCUCUGAGACAGUCUCUCACUGAGCCUGGAGCUAGGCUGGCAGCCAGCAAGAGCCAGUGACCCUUUGGCCUCCACCUUGCCCACCCCCUCCACACUGGGCUUUUUCUGUUGCUGCCAGGUCUUGAACUCGAAUCCCCGUGCCUUCAUAGCAACUGCUCUUACCCACUGAGCCAUCUUCUCACCCCUAAGCAGCAUUUUAAAGGACCAGACUUAGUUUGGUCUCCUCAGCUUCCCCCGUCCCAGCAUCUUCAGAGGACCCCCCUUUGUAUUUUCUGUGACCUACAGAGGACCUUGGGGUGCUGUCUUAGUCACUUUUUUAUUGCUGUGAAGAGACACCAUGACCAAGCAACUUACAGAAGUAUUUAUGGGAACUUACAGUUCAGAAGGUUAGGGCCUAUGACCAUCACGGCUAGGAGCAUGGCAGUGGGCAGGCAUGUGUGACUCUGGGACAGUAGCCGAGAGCUAUCUUGUUCCACAAGUACAAGGCAGAGAGAGGUUAUUGGAGAUGGCACUGAUGUAUGAAACCUCAAAGCCCACCGCCAGUGACACCCCUCCUCCAGUAAGAUCGUACCUCCUAAUCCUUCCCAAACAGUUGUGCUAACUGGGACCAAGUAUCCAAACUCCUGAGCCUAAGAGGGUCGUUCUCAUUCAAACCACCACAAAUACCAUGGAAAACUGAGUAUUUUCAGGCACAUUUCCAACCUCUUCAGACUAGCCAUGGUAGCAUACAUCUUUAAUCCCAGUACUCGGGGUGGAAGCAGGUGGAUCUCUGUGAGUUUUGUUAGCCUUGUUUAUCUAGUUCCAGGUCAGCCAGGGUCACACAACAGGACUCUAUCUCAAAACAACAACAACAACAACAAAACAAAACCAACUCUCUCCGGCGAGCAUAUUUAGGAGGAACCGUGAAGCAUGAGGGGGGUGGUCAGUAGAGUCAGAAACAAACCCUGAAGCAGAAAAGUUGCUGGCUGGUUCUUAGCCGCCUCAAGGCCUUUGGGGCUUGGUAUGCAAGACACACACAGAGCGGGGGGCCAGAGAGGUGGGUGGAUGGAGGUUGAGUCUCCAGAGGAGGCAUCUGGAUUUUCAGCAUGAGCAGGACGGCUCUGGCUUCCACAGUCACCGGCAUGCGACUCCCAUUUGCGUGGGCGUGAGCAAGGUGUUUCCUUAGCUCCCACCCUGAGGCAUGCGAGCUACCAUCUGUCCCUAAGCUCAAAAUGCCCUCAGGCCAAGCCACUCCCUUCCCACCCUCUGCCACACUCCUUACCUGGGUAACACAAAGCUGUCCUCUUCCCAUGGCCUGAAGCUGCAGCCUCACCCCUGCCCCAGGACUAUGGGCUCAUGGCCAUCGCCCCCUUCACCCGCCUGAGGACCUGGAGAUCCAGAAAGGCCCUCCUGGUGGGCCAGUCCUCAGGACUCCAGAGGGCACUGACUCUAGUAGUUGUUCCCUGAAGGAAUAGGGACCCAGAGCCACCAAAUGUUUUAGACAUUUCAGAGGAGACCUGAAUUCCAAUUUUUUUUUUUUAAUGUGAAAGUUCUCAGUUUCAAAAUAUUGGAUCAAAACCAAAAACUUCUUAACACUGGUAGAUCCAGACAAGUUACAUGUGACAAAUGUGGUCUAAGCCCUGUUGAUUAUAAUGGCAGCCUCGUGAUGGUGUCUACUACAUGACCCAACCAACCAACCAUCCACCCAUCCAGCACUUCAUCUGUGGGCCACAGGACGUGGCGACUGCCUGCUGCUGAGCCAGGAGUGGGACUAAAGACCAGCUAGAUGAAGGUUGCCACUGCCUCUGCUUUCUUCUGAUGGGCAGCCAAUUGUCCCAAUACUAAAUGUGGAGAAAUCCUGUUUCAAAUGCCAACUGGAUCAUAUGAUCAUGAGAGAUAAAGAGAAGAUCCCAGAAGCCUUGAGAAACCGAAAAAGUCAUGCAACAGAGGAUCAAGACUCAGGAUGGCACUGGGUUACUUCUCAUCAACCCAGAAUGCCACAUGCCAAUAAGAGCUGCCUUCAGAAUGUGGAGUGGAGAUGAUUUCCAAACGAGAUUUAUACAGCCAGCCAAACUGUCAAUCAAGGAUCCAAAAACUGAACUUCCCAUAUGCAGUUUUCAAGGAAGCUACUGGCAUGUAUAUUAUAACUAAAAGAAGACAGUAAACCAAGCAGGGGGUGGCUUUGGAGCCGAGCACCAAAGAAGUACAGGAGAGAGGUUAAGGGUAUUCCUGGGAUAAUAAUGGAGGGAAAUUUCAGAAUAUCUAUCAGGAAGACGUCUAGGAGGGUGUCUGGUCUAGGACAGGUGAAAAGGACAAUGAGUUUUUAGAAAAAAAAAACACACAAAAAUGGAAGUAAUAGGUUACUAAAUGAAUCUGAUUUUAUUGCUGGGGAUUUUAAAAUUUUGUGGACAUGCUUGUGGGAAGAGUUAGUAAUACUGCUUUAAAGUGUAAGUGAAAAACAGAGGCAAUCACCAACUCCAGGGAAAACAAAAAGCUCAGCAACUACACCUAUAACACCUCAUAUGUACACCUAGAACACCUCAUAUGUACACCUAGAACACCUCAUAACUACACCUACAACACCUCAUAACUACACCUACAACACCUCAUGACUACACCUACAACACCUCAUAACUACACCUACACCUCAUAACUAUACCUACACCUCAUAACUACACCUACAACACCUCAUAACUACACCUACAACACCUCGGAUAAUGGUUAUUGUUUAUGUUAUCAGCUUGACAAGGAUCUAUAAUCACCCAGGACAUAAGCCUCUGCGCACACCUGUUAUCUACACUAAUUUCUGGGCAUGUCGUGAGAGAUUUUCUUGAUUAGAUUAAUCGUGGUGGGAAGGUCUACCCUAAAUGUGGGUGACACCAUCCCCUGGGCUGGGAUCCUGGACUUUAGAUGUGGAGAAAGGGAGCUGAGCUUCCUGACUGUGGGUGCGAUGUCACGUGGGGCCUCGUGCUCCUGCUCCCGUGACUCCCUCCCUGUGGUGGGGACACCCUGGAACUGUGAGCCAAACAGACCUUCCUCCCUGAAGUUGCUUUGGUCAGGCAUCUCGCACAGCGAUGGGAGAGGACACAGGAGACUUUGUUCCGCUGUUAACAACGUGGAGGUGGACCAGGUAAAAGAGGACUCUGAGGUAGCAGCUGUGAAGGAUGACGUUGGGAGGGGAAGUGCGUGUCUGUGUGUGGUGGCUGCUGGGGAACUAGCAAUCUUCCAUAAGA
This is a non-coding RNA of Peromyscus maniculatus bairdii (prairie deer mouse), 3407 nucleotides long. Lineage: Eukaryota; Metazoa; Chordata; Mammalia; Rodentia; Cricetidae. The record is from RefSeq and is a predicted model, not a curated record.